UACGGAGGGUGCAAGCGUUAAUCGGAAUCACUGGGCGUAAAGGGUGCGUAGGCGGUACGUUAGGUCUGUCGUGAAAUCCCCGGGCUCAACCUGGGAAUGGCGGUAGAAACCGGUGCACUAGAGUAUGGGAGAGGGUGGUGGAGUUCCAGGUGUAGCGGUGAAAUGCGUAGAUAUCUGGAGGAACAUCAGUGGCGAAGGCGGCCACCUGGCCCAAUACUGACGCUGAGGCACGAAAGCGUGGGGGAGCAAACAGGAUUAGAUACCCUGGUAGUCCACGCCCUAAACGAUGAAUACUAGAUGUUUGGUGCCUAGCGUACUGAGUGUCGUAGCUAACGCGAUAAGUAUUCCGCCUGGGAAGUACGGCCGCAAGGUUAAAACUCA
Molecule: ribosomal RNA, 381 nt
Filed under: uncultured bacterium
Lineage: Bacteria
Description: bacterial SSU rRNA
Rfam family: Bacterial small subunit ribosomal RNA
Source: RNAcentral